AUUUAAAUAACUUAUUUUAAAGUGUGUCAUUGAAGAUGAUAAAAUGAUUUUUAAAAUCUUUAAAUA
RNAcentral lists this transfer RNA (66 nucleotides) under Runaria punctata. RNAcentral describes it as "tRNA-Phe". The record is from RNAcentral. Lineage: Eukaryota; Metazoa; Arthropoda; Insecta; Hymenoptera; Blasticotomidae.